CCUACGGGAGGCAGCAGUGAGGAAUAUUGGUCAAUGGGCGAGAGCCUGAACCAGCCAAGUCGCGUGAGGGAGUACUGCCCUAUGGGUUGUAAACCUCUUUUGUCGGGGAGCAAAAGCCGGACGUGUCCGGCUGUGAGAGUACCCGAAGAAAAAGCAUCGGCUAACUCCGUGCCAGCAGCCGCGGUAAUACGGAGGAUGCGAGCGUUAUCCGGAUUUACUGGGCGUAAAACGAGCGCAGGCGGGUUAACAAGUUUGGUAUGAAAGGCUUUUGCUUAACGAAAGUUUGUAUCAAAAACUGUUAAUCUAGAGUGUAGUAGAGAGUUCUGGAAUUCCAUGUGGAGCGGUGGAAUGCGUAGAUAUAUGGAAGAACACCAGUGGCGAAGGCGAGAACUUAGGCUAUCACUGACGCUUAGGCUCGAAAGUGUGGGGAGCAAAUAGGAUUAGAUACCCUUGUAGUC
RNAcentral lists this ribosomal RNA (458 nucleotides) under uncultured bacterium. Its description in RNAcentral is "partial 16S ribosomal RNA". It matches the Rfam family "Bacterial small subunit ribosomal RNA", at positions 338 to 795 of the family's 1533-position model. The record is from RNAcentral.